CUGGGUGUAGCACAGUUGGUAGCGCGCGACGUUUGGGACGUCGAGGUCGCAGGUUCAAGUCCUGUCACCCAGACCA
This 76-nucleotide transfer RNA is filed under the name Candidatus Saccharimonadota bacterium. Its description in RNAcentral is "tRNA-Pro". It matches the Rfam family "tRNA". From Rfam's summary of the family: Transfer RNA (tRNA) molecules are approximately 80 nucleotides in length. Lineage: Bacteria; Candidatus Saccharimonadota. RNAcentral also lists the same sequence under 1 other name. The record is from RNAcentral.